ACCUUUCAAAUCAGGGUGCGGCGCGGCCCCCGAGGAGCGGAAACAAUCCUUGGGAGGUAUGCGGGGGCUUCGAGCCCCCCAUUUACGCACGCACGACUGCCAUCCUUACUUUACGAGCACCUUCUGUUCUCCCUCGGCGGGGUAACCUGCCGUUGGAACCGAAUAAACUCUUUUUGCAUCUAGCAUUACCUGUUCCGAAACAAACAAUCGUUA
RNAcentral lists this unclassified non-coding RNA (213 nucleotides) under soil metagenome. Its description in RNAcentral is "partial internal transcribed spacer 1". The record is from RNAcentral.